GGCGGUUCUGGCCAGCUGGUAUCCCUCUCAACUGCACCUGCCACGAUUUACAACCUUUCCCGGGCAUCCCUUUAAAUCUCUAGUUCUGAUGUAGUCUCCAGGGAAAGUGGACUCCAAGCUCUUCUCCACCUCAAAUGUCAGAGAGCUUGGAGAACAAAUCUCCCUUAUACAAGUUUCCAAACCGCCACCUUACUGUUGAAGAGCCUUGUGUACCAUCGAUCUACUCCAAAGCAUCAUCCCUUCUAGUGAAUGACAUUCUACAUCAAGGGAUCAUGGGACAAUUCUUCCCUUCGGAAUAUGUAUCGCAACCUUCACAUUUGAAGACCACAUGUUGCAGGGUUCCAAGCACAGCAGCUGGUGCACAUAAAUAGCAACUCCCUUUUCUCCCAAUCCCAAAUGGGGUAUUGCAGCAAGCCUCAUCAGGGUUAAGCAUUCUAAUCUACUUCCUGCUUCUCCAGUCUGUCUUGUUCCCUGACGAGUGACCGUGUUGACCUUUGGUACAUACUGUUGUGUUAAAGAUGUAAACAUGUUUGUCGGACUACACUUUUGCCUAAUCCCGGGUUCUGGAUACGGAGCUUCAGCUCCGCUCUGUUUAUUAGUUUUCAUUUCAAGGUACUCGGGAUAUCUGCAUUUAGUGAAAGUUGCUGGUUGGGUCUAUGCAGAACUGAGUAGAAACAGAGCUUUCUCUAGGAAAUAGGCUUUCAAAAAAUUUAAAAUAGGCAUUGAAAACACCCCGUCUGUGCAGGUAGGGCCAAGGUUUGCUGGCCGGGGUAGUACGGGUUGCUGGGAUCAAUGAAUUGAACACUUAAUGUGUGUAGAGCCCUGAACUAAGUGCAUGGGAGAGUAGAAUAGAGUUGGUAGACACGGUCCCUGCCCUCAAGGUGCAUACAGUCCAGGAGGAGGAGACAGGCAUUAAAAUAUAUGAGAAAGGAAGCAGCAGACCAUAAAGAUAUGUACAGAAGUGCUGUGGGGCUGGAUGUGAGGUAUCAAAGCGCUUAAAGGGUACAGAUCCAAGUGCAUAGAUGAUGAAGAAGGGACAGUGAAUAGGAUGGGGAAAUGAGAAGUUAAUCAGGGAAAGCUUCUUGGAGGAGAUAUGAUUUCAGUUGGGCAGACAGUGGUGGUCUAUUGGAUGUGAAGGGAAGGGGGAGGGAGUUCCAGGCCAGAGGUUGUGAGACAGGGGUUGACAGUGGGACAGUGAGUAGGUUGGCAUUGCAGGAGCGAAGUGUGUUGGCUGAGUUGUAGUGGGACAUGAGCAAGGCUCCACCCCCUUCACUCCUCCCUGCCCUAGCCCAGUCUAAAUCCAACCAUCCAAUGGAGGAGGAGAAGAAUCAUCCCGGAUAUCAACAUUUCCACAUGUUAAACCGAGGUAGGCUAUUGUGAUCUCCCUUGACCAGCUCCUCAGAAAAAUAUUUCAGAAUUUCCAUUAUAAAGUCAGUCUUCCCUAGACUAACCAUUUAGCUGAGAAAACCUAGUGUCGGGCAUAAACUUGGCAUUCAUAGUUGCAGUUUCAAAGGGCUUUGCAUUCUAUAGCUUUAAACAAAAUACGUAAAUAGAAAAAUAUUUCUAAUGGAAGACCCAUAGUAACACUCUGGCAUGCGGUAUCCGAAGCCUUAUAAUCUGCUUCAUGAAACAAAUGACACUAAGAAAGGGUAGAAAUUGCUUUUCCCUACUCCCACCUGAACCCCACACUGUAGAAAUUGCCAGAAAUGUAAAAGAAUUCUGGUCUAUGAUAAGGAUAGUUUCCCUUCAGGAACGAAAAACAAGCCAUGAUCUGAGACUUAAGGACCCAGAAGCUGCAAGGAGGAAUUGAUUCUAGUCCAGCGGUUUGCACACUCCAAUCUCACUCUCUUGAUCCUACCCAUCGUCUUCCCGCUGGGGCUCAGAGUUCAGUGAGGAAGUAGGUGGGCAGGGCACAGCACACCCCGAAGUGCAUGCAUGAAUUCUACCUAUUUGGCACCUCUUUUUAAAAUUUACCGAUCAUGAAAAUUAAUCCAGGAUGGCAAAUAGAGCGUCGACCAAUAGGGUUUUGUUUUCUUGGUGGUGC
RNAcentral lists this long non-coding RNA (2044 nucleotides) under Ornithorhynchus anatinus (platypus). RNAcentral describes it as "lncRNA (ENSOANG00000036745.1)". Lineage: Eukaryota; Metazoa; Chordata; Mammalia; Monotremata; Ornithorhynchidae. The record is from RNAcentral.